Molecule: transfer RNA, 76 nt
Filed under: Subdoligranulum variabile
Lineage: Bacteria; Bacillati; Bacillota; Clostridia; Eubacteriales; Oscillospiraceae
Also listed under: 31 other names
Description: tRNA-Pro
Rfam family: tRNA
About the family: Transfer RNA (tRNA) molecules are approximately 80 nucleotides in length.
Source: RNAcentral
CCGGGUAUAGCGAAGUUGGUAUCGCGCCUGGUUUGGGACCAGGAGACCGUGCGUUCGAGUCGCACUACUCGGACCA